CUUGGUUUAGAGUUGACUUAGGGGUUAAAGGUUACGUUUUUUGAGAAAGGUAGUAAAACAUUAAUGAUGGGUAAAGUUCUUUCUCUCACGCUGCAUAAGAGAACUGGGUGAUCCUGUUUGCUGUAUAAAGGGGGUAUUUUCUUAGGGCAAUUUGAAAUUGGCAGUGCAAAUGCUCCUUGACUUCCUCUUGUGUCUGAGAUGGGGAAACUGAGGCAUGGAGAAGUUGAAUAAUUUGCUCAAGUCCACACAGCCAGGAAGCAGCAUGAAGUUAGAACGUAAUUCCUGGGAAUCUGACUCCAACAAUGAUCAUGUCUUUCCUCCAGAAGAGGAAAUAGAGACACUGAUGAAAAGUCUGUUUAUGAAGCAGUGAGAACCCAGGGGGCUCUACACACGCACAGACUAAAAGAAGAAGACUUUAGAAGUUUCCAGAGCUCUCAAGGAAGAACAAUGUCAAUAGAAAAAAAAAAUCAGGAACCACAAUGUUUGGCAAGAAGGAAAGAAGUCACAGUUUAUCCCAUGAGUUUUAAUGUCAUCAAAUCAGUAAAGAUACUGAAAACUGAUCUAACUGAAAUUGGGGCAUAAUCUCAGAAGCAUAAUUCAAGAGCAGACAUCCUAAAGUUAGCCUGUACAUGUUCCAUUCUGUGUAUCCACUACUUCCUGAGACUAAGCUAUGUGCUUAACCACCCUGUAACUCAAUUUCCUUAUCUGUAAAAUGGGAGUCAUAACAAAACUUAUUGCAUAGGAUCUGGGAGAAUAUUAAGUAAAUUAAUAUGUGAAAAAUGCUUAGAAUAAUGUGUGUACAUAAUAAAUUAUAUAUAAGAGCAA
This is a long non-coding RNA of Marmota monax (woodchuck), 825 nucleotides long. RefSeq lists it as uncharacterized. The record is from RefSeq and is a predicted model, not a curated record. The transcript has 3 exons. NCBI's taxonomy places the organism in Eukaryota, Metazoa, Chordata, Mammalia, Rodentia, Sciuridae.